GUGUUGUAUGAAAGGAGAGAAGGAUAGCACUCCCCUUUACAAAGACGGAAGAGGCCCUUGGGCCUGACAACACAUGUAGAGUUAAGCCAUAGCCACCUACUUAUGACAUCUAACCAUCAUUUUUU
Urocitellus parryii (Arctic ground squirrel) is the source of this 125-nucleotide small nuclear RNA. Lineage: Eukaryota; Metazoa; Chordata; Mammalia; Rodentia; Sciuridae. The record is from Ensembl.